CCUACGGGAGGCAGCAGUGGGGAAUAUUGCGCAAUGAGCGAAAGCCUGACGCAGCGACGCCGCGUGAGGGAUGAAGGUCUUCGGAUCGUAAACCUCUGUCAGCAGGGAAGAACGGUCACUGUGCUAAUCAGCAGUGAAUUGACGGUACCUGCAAAGGAAGCACCGGCUAACUCCGUGCCAGCAGCCGCGGUAAUACGGAGGGUGCGAGCGUUAAUCGGAAUUAUUGGGCGUAAGGCGCUCGUAGGCGGUAUGUGUAGUCAAGGGUGAAAUCCCCGGGCUCAACGUGGGAACUGCCUUUGAAACUGGCAAACUAGAGUGUGUGAGAGGAUAGUGGAAUUCCAGGUGAAGGGGUGAAAUCCGUAGAUAUCUGGAAGAACAUCAGAGGCGAAGGCGACUAACUGGCACAUAACUGACGCUGAGGGGCGAAAGCGUGGGUAGCAAACAGGAUUAGAUACCCGGGUAGUC
This 465-nucleotide ribosomal RNA is filed under the name uncultured bacterium. RNAcentral describes it as "partial 16S ribosomal RNA". It matches the Rfam family "Bacterial small subunit ribosomal RNA", at positions 338 to 795 of the family's 1533-position model. The record is from RNAcentral.